AUUGAACGCUGGCGGCAUGCCUAACACAUGCAAGUCGAACGGCAGCGCGGGUAGCUUGCUACCUGGCGGCGAGUGGCGGACGGGUGAGUAAUGCAUAGGAAUCUGCCCAGUAGCGGGGGAUAGCCCGGGGAAACCCGGAUUAAUACCGCAUACGCCCUACGGGGGAAAGCAGGGGAUCUUCGGACCUUGCACUAUUGGAUGAGCCUAUGUCUGAUUAGCUAGUUGGUGGGGUAACGGCCUACCAAGGCGACGAUCAGUAGCUGGUCUGAGAGGACGAUCAGCCACACCGGAACUGAGACACGGUCCGGACUCCUACGGGAGGCAGCAGUGGGGAAUAUUGGACAAUGGGGGAAACCCUGAUCCAGCAAUGCCGCGUGUGUGAAGAAGGCCUGCGGGUUGUAAAGCACUUUCAGUUGGGAAGAAACAGCAGCCGGCUAAUAUCCGGUUGUCUUGACGUAACCAACAGAAGAAGCACCGGCUAACUCCGUGCCAGCAGCCG
This 499-nucleotide ribosomal RNA is filed under the name uncultured bacterium. Its description in RNAcentral is "bacterial SSU rRNA". It matches the Rfam family "Bacterial small subunit ribosomal RNA", at positions 30 to 517 of the family's 1533-position model. The record is from RNAcentral.